This is a long non-coding RNA of Vigna unguiculata (cowpea), 718 nucleotides long. RefSeq lists it as uncharacterized. The record is from RefSeq and is a predicted model, not a curated record. Lineage: Eukaryota; Viridiplantae; Streptophyta; Magnoliopsida; Fabales; Fabaceae.
UACAAAUCAGUUUUUCUCUAUUUUGAAUUUUAGGGUUCUGAGAACCCCAUUGAUAUUGAGAGCAUUGUGUAUCCAAAGGCAAGGUUGAGUGUGCUGCCGCGGUCGUUCUCAACUCCUUCGCCUACCUCCCCGUGUCGUAGAGCGUUACUAAUCGCCAUCCCACCACCUCAUCCUACACCUCGACUUCGAUGUUGACACCAUUGACACCACCCUUGUCACUAACCUCGACCUCCACCUCAUCCAUGUCCACAUCUCGCGUGUCGAGGAGAUCACUAACACCGUCAUGGCGCUCUUCGUCGGCCUCCUCCGUCACACACACAUCAUCUCUCGCCAUGUGGUCUUUAUCUUCGAUUGGCUUAGCUCCGUCCAGUCUCUCUACUACGAGAUGCGUCGUUGUUUGACCUCGUUCUCAGCAUCGUCGAAAUCUCCAGGUUCGCUAGAUGAACUUGAUUGCAAAGUUGAAUAACCCAUACAUUGUGGAGUACAAAGAUGCUUAGGUGGAGAAGAUGUUGGUGAUGCAGGUGACUCUGGUGCAGCUUAGUCGCGGAGAGGGGAUUGACUUGGGGAACUGUUAUAUGUAUUUAUUUAUUUUGAAAACAAUUGUAAACCCUGAUGGGUGACUUGAUGUCAUUGUGGUUUUAGUUUUGUAAUAGACGCUCUAAAAAUUAUCCGCUCAAUUAAUAAAGCUUUAAAUUUUCCCGAGUUUUGGGAAAAUGAG